Molecule: long non-coding RNA, 783 nt
Organism: Helianthus annuus (common sunflower)
Lineage: Eukaryota; Viridiplantae; Streptophyta; Magnoliopsida; Asterales; Asteraceae
Exons: 3
Source: RefSeq, a predicted model, not a curated record
UAAAACCUUUGCCAAGGUCCCGAAUACGUUUAGGUUGUAGUAAGUAUAGUGAAUGAACCACCUGAAAGGGGUAAGAGUAUAAUUGGUCUAGUUUGAAUGAGAAAGGUUUCGGGGACGAAACCUCAUUUAAGGGGGGUAGACUUGUAACGCCCCAAAACCCGAACGUUUAACUCACUAAUGAGAUUUCAUGGAAUACGAGAUAAAAUGUGACAAAUAUGUUAUUUAACUUGGUCACAAUACAAGUUAGAUAAUAGUAGUAAAGUUUGUGACUAAGCAAUUACCACAUUAAACUUAAGGGACUAAAAGUGACAGGUUAAGAAAGCUAGAUGAAUAAAAUGAAAUAAGAAUUAAAACACACACACAUCAGGUGUGUGUGUGUGUUCGACGCCCAGAGCCAGAGAAGAAAGGGGAAACCCUUCUAACCACAAAAUCCAGCCAAUUGAAGCCCCAAUCGUGACCAAAUCUCAUGCAUGUCAAUGAUUUCUUGAUCAUCUAGGCCUAUUAAAGCUUAAGGAUGAAUAACAUAUCUACGAACUCAAGCACGGAGGCUAACGGGUCGAAAGUAAACACGGAACCUAUGCUUGAACUUGGUCGCUCAAGGCGAUACGUGUUACGGAGGAUCAUCAAGGAAUAUAGAUCAAGGAUCGAGUCAGUUGAGGGAUUGUACGGGGCUGUCUGAGGAUGUAAUUUAUUGUACAUAAGCUAUCAAUUAUUUUAUUAUUAAGUCACUUUGUUGUAUUUAAUAUAAAAGAGUUAUUCUAAAAAGUGAACUUUCAAGUAAGA